CAGUAGCCACGGUAAUACGGAGGGUGCAAGCGUUAAUCGGAAUUACUGGCGUAAAGCGCACGCAGGCGGUCUGACAAGUCAGAUGUGAAAUCCCCGGGCUUAACCUGGGAACUGCAUUUGAAACUGUCAGGCUGGAGUCUUGUAGAGGGGGGUGGAAUCCCAGGUGUAGCGGUGAAAUGCGUAGAGAUCUGGAGGAAUACCGGUGGCGAAGGCGGCCCCCUGGACAAAGACUGACGCUCAGGUGCGAAAGCGUGGGGAGCAAACAGGAUUAGAUACCCCUGUAGUCCCUGUCUCUUAUACA
RNAcentral lists this ribosomal RNA (301 nucleotides) under uncultured bacterium. Its description in RNAcentral is "partial 16S ribosomal RNA". It matches the Rfam family "Bacterial small subunit ribosomal RNA", at positions 509 to 808 of the family's 1533-position model. The record is from RNAcentral.